AUCGACCGGAUGCGUGGGCGGCAAGACGAAAAAGCCGCGUCCGAGGUUGUGGACGCUUCCAGACACAAGACUGAUUUAUGCAGCAGGCGCUCCUUGGCUGCAUCUGCAAUGCUAGCUCAAGGCGAGAAUGCUUUGGGCACGUUGCCAUCUGCGUCCACAGUCAUCCUGGCACAACUGCCAUGAGAAAAACUAUUUCUCUUUUCCCAUGUAUUCAGAUAGGAGCUCCAGAGAUAAAACUGCCUCCAAGUCAGGUAAACCAUUGUAUUAAAGAAC
This 273-nucleotide unclassified non-coding RNA is filed under the name Dermacentor andersoni. Its description in RNAcentral is "uncharacterized LOC126539846". Lineage: Eukaryota; Metazoa; Arthropoda; Arachnida; Ixodida; Ixodidae. The record is from RNAcentral.